This 628-nucleotide ribosomal RNA is filed under the name uncultured bacterium. Its description in RNAcentral is "bacterial SSU rRNA". It matches the Rfam family "Bacterial small subunit ribosomal RNA", at positions 316 to 936 of the family's 1533-position model. The record is from RNAcentral.
GGACUGAGACACGGCCCAGACUCCUACGGGAGGCAGCAGUGGGGAAUAUUGGACAAUGGGGGCAACCCUGAUCCAGCAAUGCCGCGUGUGUGAAGAAGGCCUUCGGGUUGUAAAGCACUUUUAUCCGGAACGAAACGCGCCAGGUGAAUAGCCUGGUGAACUGACGGUACCGGAGGAAUAAGCACCGGCUAACUUCGUGCCAGCAGCCGCGGUAAUACGAAGGGUGCAAGCGUUACUCGGAAUUACUGGGCGUAAAGCGUGCGUAGGUGGUUUGUUAAGUCUGCUGUGAAAGCCCCGGGCUCAACCUGGGAAUGGCAGUGGAUACUGGCAAGCUAGAGUGCGGUAGAGGGGUGUGGAAUUCCCGGUGUAGCGGUGAAAUGCGUAGAGAUCGGGAGGAACACCAGUGGCGAAGGCGGCACCCUGGACCAGCACUGACACUGAGGCACGAAAGCGUGGGGAGCAAACAGGAUUAGAUACCCUGGUAGUCCACGCCCUAAACGAUGCGAACUGGACGUUGGGAGCAACUUGGCUCUCAGUGUCGAAGCUAACGCGUUAAGUCGCCGCCUGGGGAGUACGGUCGCAAGACUGAAACUCAAAGGAAUUGACGGGGGCCCGCACAAGCGGUGGA